AUUGAACGCUGGCGGAAUGCUUUACACAUGCAAGUCGAACGGCAGCACGGACUUCGGUCUGGUGGCGAGUGGCGAACGGGUGAGUAAUACAUCGGAACGUGCCCAAUCGUGGGGGAUGACGUAGCGAAAGCUACGCUAAUACCGCAUACGAGCUAAGGAUGAAAGCGGGGGAUCGCAAGACCUCGCGCGAUUGGAGCGGCCGAUGGCAGAUUAGGUAGUUGGUAGGGUAAAGGCCUACCAAGCCGACGAUCUGUAGCUGGUCUGAGAGGAUGAUCAGCCACACUGGGACUGAGACACGGCCCAGACUCCUACGGGAGGCAGCGGUGGGGAAUUUUGGACAAUGGACGCAAGUCUGAUCCAGCCAUUCCGCGUGCAGGAUGAAGGCCCUCGGGUUGUGAACUGCUUUUGUACAGAACGAAAAGGCUCUGGUUAAUACCUAGGGCUCAUGACGGUACUGUAAGAAUAAGCACCGGCUAACUACGUGCCAGCCGCCGCAGUAA
This 500-nucleotide ribosomal RNA is filed under the name uncultured bacterium. Its description in RNAcentral is "partial 16S ribosomal RNA". It matches the Rfam family "Bacterial small subunit ribosomal RNA", at positions 30 to 523 of the family's 1533-position model. The record is from RNAcentral.